GGUGCAUAUUCACUUGUUACUAUUUUGUGGAAUUGUUAAUGACUUGUUAUUUCUAUUAUGUUUAAUGACAGUAAUGAUGAGGAACAAUGAACAACUUGACAGUCAUUCUAGUACCAUCACAAAUAAGCCAACUACUCCUAAAAUAGUAGUUACUCCAACCAAACCAGUGCGAAUUUGUAUUUUACGCACCGGUUUGAACCGGUGUGAAUUAAAAAAGAAAAAAAAAACAGAAAAGGCACCGGUUCACCGUAAAUUAUCUAAACCCUUUAUACUCCCUCAGCCCUUCUAUUUCUCAUCCGCCUCUCUAUUUCUUCUCUCCUCUCUAAUCUCUCGUUCUUUUCUCCUUCUCUUUCAUCUCUCGUUCUUCUUUCCUUCUCUCUAAGCUCUCGUUCUUCUCUCCUUCUCUCUAAGCUUUCGUUUUUCUCGUUGUUCUCUUAUCUUCUUCCUCAUUUUAGAUUCCGUAGUUUAAUUUUCAAAACCAAGCAAAACAAUUUUUGCCGCCGCCGUUGAUUAUUCGAACAUGCAAGCAUCACCCGUCAAAUUUGAGGUUGUAUAUGAUGAUAAUUUCAUUAGAUGCGAGUAUGGUGAUAAUUUUUGC
Molecule: long non-coding RNA, 598 nt
Organism: Chenopodium quinoa (quinoa)
Lineage: Eukaryota; Viridiplantae; Streptophyta; Magnoliopsida; Caryophyllales; Amaranthaceae
Exons: 2
Source: RefSeq, a predicted model, not a curated record